GUAAAUGGGCUCGUUCAAGUUUACUAAGCUCUUGGCAGAUCUUAGCAAAUCUUGUACCAAAAACUAAAAGUGACUACAUUCUCUCUAAAGAAUAUCUAUAAGAAAACAAUGCAAGCUUUGUUCAAGUAGAUUUCAAUA
Cotesia glomerata is the source of this 138-nucleotide long non-coding RNA. RefSeq lists it as uncharacterized. The record is from RefSeq and is a predicted model, not a curated record. Lineage: Eukaryota; Metazoa; Arthropoda; Insecta; Hymenoptera; Braconidae. The transcript is spliced from 4 exons.